CGGCAGAAGACAAUUUGUUGCUGAGUGUCAGGGAGAUAUGAUAAACGAUGCAGAAUACUAGCGCAGAAGAUGAGUUUAUCACCCAUCAUGUGCUGCGUUUAUGUUUGCAUUCAAGUGGAGAGGGAAACGUGGUGCAUUGAUGCUUCACGAGAAGAUGAUUCAUUUGGGUGACUAGUGAAUGAUGAACACAGGGGGCCAAACUGCCGGAUGAAAAGGAUUGAUGUGGAUGGUGUGCCACACCUAUGUUUGUUUGCUUUGAAUGACAUUCAAGAGGGAGAAGAAAUGACCUAUGAUUAUGGUGGCGAAGACUGCUCAUGGAGAACACAAAUGACCAGCGUGACAGUCACAGGUGUGGUUUCCCAACCCUCUUCUCUGCCUCAGAGUCAGAUGGAUGAUGAUGAUA
Molecule: long non-coding RNA, 403 nt
Organism: Hippocampus comes (tiger tail seahorse)
Lineage: Eukaryota; Metazoa; Chordata; Actinopteri; Syngnathiformes; Syngnathidae
Exons: 3
Source: RefSeq, a predicted model, not a curated record